This 253-nucleotide ribosomal RNA is filed under the name uncultured bacterium. RNAcentral describes it as "partial 16S ribosomal RNA". It matches the Rfam family "Bacterial small subunit ribosomal RNA", at positions 524 to 776 of the family's 1533-position model. The record is from RNAcentral.
UACGUAGGGUGCGAGCGUUAAUCGGAAUUACUGGGCGUAAAGCGUGCGCAGGCGGUUUUGUAAGCCAGAUGUGAAAGCCCCGGGCUUAACCUGGGAAUGGCAUUUGGGACUGCAAGGCUGGAGUGUGGCAGAGGAGACUGGAAUUCCUGGUGUAGCAGUGAAAUGCGUAGAUAUCAGGAGGAACACCGAUGGCGAAGGCAGGUCUCUGGGCUGACACUGACGCUGAGGCACGAAAGCGUGGGGAGCAAACAGG